This 374-nucleotide ribosomal RNA is filed under the name uncultured eukaryote. RNAcentral's name for it is "partial 18S ribosomal RNA". It matches the Rfam family "Eukaryotic small subunit ribosomal RNA", at positions 592 to 975 of the family's 1831-position model. The record is from RNAcentral.
CAAUAGCGUAUAUUUAAGUUGUUGCAGUUAAAAAGCUCGUAGUUGGAUUUCGGUUGAGAGCGACCGGUCCGCCGUUUGGUGUGCACUGGUUGGUUUUAACUUCCUGUAGAGGACGUGCUCUGGGUUUAACGACCUGGACUCGGAGUCUACGUGGUUACUUUGAAAAAAUUAGAGUGUUCAAAGCGGGCUUACGCUUGAAUAUUUCAGCAUGGAAUAACACUAUAGGACUCCUGUCCUAUUUCGUUGGUCUCGGGACGGGAGUAAUGAUUAAGAGGAACAGUUGGGGGCAUUCGUAUUUCAUUGUCAGAGGUGAAAUUCUUGGAUUUAUGAAAGACGAACUUCUGCGAAAGCAUUUGCCAAGGAUGUUUUCAUUA